Gossypium raimondii (Peruvian cotton) is the source of this 144-nucleotide non-coding RNA. The record is from Rfam. NCBI's taxonomy places the organism in Eukaryota, Viridiplantae, Streptophyta, Magnoliopsida, Malvales, Malvaceae.
AGUUAAAUUCUUCAUUUCUUUCUACAGUUAAAAACAAGCAUUGCUGAUAGAAAACUGGAUAGUUACACAUGACGUGUCACGUAUAACCUCAUGCUGAUGUACAAUGACCAAUUUUUAUAGUAGAAAUAGAUGAAAUUUUCAACA